This 448-nucleotide ribosomal RNA is filed under the name Brucella melitensis. RNAcentral describes it as "partial 16S ribosomal RNA". It matches the Rfam family "Bacterial small subunit ribosomal RNA", at positions 34 to 525 of the family's 1533-position model. The record is from RNAcentral. Lineage: Bacteria; Pseudomonadati; Pseudomonadota; Alphaproteobacteria; Hyphomicrobiales; Brucellaceae.
CCCCSACCCGCUGGCCGGCRGCUUACACAUGSRAGGGGGCGCCCGUWGGGGAGCGGCAGACGGGUGAGUAACGCGUGSSMWYUKUACCAUUUGCUACGGAAUAACUCAGGGAAACUUGUGCUAAUACCGUAUGUGCCCUUCGGGGGAAAGAUUUAUCGGCAAAUGAUCGGCCCGCGUUGGAUUAGCUAGUUGGUGGGGUAAAGGCUCACCAAGGCGACGAUCCAUAGCUGGUCUGAGAGGAUGAUCAGCCACACUGGGACUGAGACACGGCCCAGACUCCUACGGGAGGCAGCAGUGGGGAAUAUUGGACAAUGGGCGCAAGCCUGAUCCAGCCAUGCCGCGUGAGUGAUGAAGGCCCUAGGGUUGUAAAGCUCUUUCACCGGUGAAGAUAAUGACGGUAACCGGAGAAGAAGCCCCGGCUAACUUCGUGCCAGCAGCCGCGGUAAUA